UAGGGAAUCUUCGGCAAUGGACGGAAGUCUGACCGAGCAACGCCGCGUGAGUGAAGAAGGUUUUCGGAUCGUAAAGCUCUGUUGUUAGAGAAGAACGUUGGUAGGAGUGGAAAAUCUACCAAGUGACGGUAACUAACCAGAAAGGGACGGCUAACUACGUGCCAGCAGCCGCGGUAAUACGUAGGUCACGAGCGUUGCCCGGGUCUAUUGGGCGUAAAGCGAGCGCAGGCGGUUCUUUAAGUCUGAAGUUAAAGGCAGUGGCUUAACCAUUGUACGCUUUGGAAACUGGAGGACUUGAGUGCAGAAGGGGAGAGUGUAAUUCCAUGUGUAGCGGUGAAAUGCGUAGAUAUAUGGAGGAACACCGGUGGCGAAAGCGGCUCUCUGGUCUGUAACUGACGCUGAGGCUCGAAAGCGUGGGGAGCAAACAGG
RNAcentral lists this ribosomal RNA (429 nucleotides) under Bacillota bacterium. RNAcentral describes it as "Firmicutes bacterium partial 16S ribosomal RNA". It matches the Rfam family "Bacterial small subunit ribosomal RNA", at positions 355 to 776 of the family's 1533-position model. The record is from RNAcentral. Lineage: Bacteria; Bacillati; Bacillota.